UCAACGUUUCAAAAAUCAGCAGAGAAAGAAGUUUAAAAUGUUAUUUAUAUUGUUAUAAGUCAUACUCUUAACGCAUAUAUGGAAAUUUAUUUAUUUGAUACUGGCUUGAGUAAAAUGUGUUAUGGCUUUAUAGCGAUGUAUAAAUAAGGAGGGUAUACAAGUUAACAAACACACAUAGGUUUAAAUAUAAUCUAGGAGCAAAUUAUCUCAUAAAAAUCAUCAAUACCGUGACAAGAAUUUGUAUUGCCACCAGCUCAUCAGUUUCGAAUUUUAUAACAAAAAUUGUUGGAUUUGGAUGUAUGGUAAUCAACUAUGGGGUGCGAUAUAUGCAAUUACCAUUGACAUAAUGCAGAGGUUUUAAUCAAAAAUGCUCAGAGCUAUCACAGCUCCAUGGAAAAAGGAAGCAGAGACUGUAGAAUGAAUAUACAUAUCAAAACUACGUGAGCAUCCAACCCCAUUGGUCAACAAAACCUUGGUAAAUUCUUAUAAGGCAACCCGCUUGAAAAGAAUAAAUCUACCAGCCUACUAAAGAGCAACCAAAUAAGAUUCAGGGGUUAAGUGGAUUUCAAAAUUUCAAAAUUUGAAAACAUUUCUUUGUCUUAUUAAAAGUGCAAUAUGUUUAAAAUAUUAUGCAAAAAUAUCAAAUCAAUCCGAGUAAUAUUCUAAGAGAAGUACUCUUUGGAAUUUCCGCUCAUCAGUCCGAAUGUAAAACUUUAAACGCAUUUAUCUCAAAUUUAAAUUUUUCAAGUCGGUGGACACGAUAACUCAAAAAGUUAUGCAGCGAUUUUGCACACUUCUUUGGAAUAACAUUAUCUAGUUAAUGAACGAAGAAUUUUUUUUUUAUUUUUAUUAUAAUUAUUUUUUUCCGAUCCAAUAUAUGCCGAAAAUUUGACAAAAAAUAAUAAUUUUUUGAUUAAAAUUCUGACAAAAAUUAAAAUUUCA
Molecule: long non-coding RNA, 942 nt
Organism: Zeugodacus cucurbitae (melon fly)
Lineage: Eukaryota; Metazoa; Arthropoda; Insecta; Diptera; Tephritidae
Exons: 2
Source: RefSeq, a predicted model, not a curated record